GGGCCGUUAGCUCAGUUGGUAGAGCAACUGACUUUUAAUCAGUAGGUCGCUGGUUCGAACCCAGCACGGCUCA
Wenxinia saemankumensis is the source of this 73-nucleotide transfer RNA. It matches the Rfam family "tRNA". Rfam says of the family: Transfer RNA (tRNA) molecules are approximately 80 nucleotides in length. NCBI's taxonomy places the organism in Bacteria, Pseudomonadati, Pseudomonadota, Alphaproteobacteria, Rhodobacterales, Roseobacteraceae. The record is from Rfam.